Long non-coding RNA from Oreochromis aureus, 2773 nucleotides. NCBI's taxonomy places the organism in Eukaryota, Metazoa, Chordata, Actinopteri, Cichliformes, Cichlidae. The record is from Ensembl.
AAAGGAAAUAUCAAAGUUACUUUGCCACAAACUCAUUGCAGCUUCUACCUCGUCAUUGGGAUGUUUUAUUAUGAUUCAGAAUGACUUUAUUUCAAUCACAACACAUUUUUGUUUGACAAAUUUUGGACAGAUUAUGGAUCAACAAGUCACUUCAACAGUUUAAAUUCCUGGAGCAAGUUUUUGGCACAACACUUAAGGAAGAAAAGGGCAGAUACAGACAUUUAUGCUGCAAUCAUUAUAGUAAGGUUAUUAUUAAUCAUUAUGUCACAGUUUGCAAAGGUGAAUCAUGCGGAGAGAAUUAGGAAUGGACCCAAAUGCAGACAAUAGAGAUGAAGAUGUUUAACUGAAAGCGAGCCUUUAUUCGUGGCUGAAUGAACACUACAAAACAACAAAAACCUAAACUGGGAACAGCUAAACAUGAAACUGGAACUAAACAACCUGACACCUGGAAACAUGGCUGGAGCGACACUGGGGAAGAUGAACAGAAUAAUGACACCGGGGAUGAUACACAGAUGCUGAACCUAAUCAGACGUGAGGAGACAGGGAGGAAGCAAAAGAGAAUACAUUGAAAGUCCGUGUCCUAUGUCAAAGUAACAGAACACAGAGUAGACAUAACACGGAACACAGAGGAGGCACAUAAACAAAACCUAAAGACCAGAAAUCAUGAAAUACUAAGGAACUAGGGAGCUAGAAAUACUGAAAACCAAGAGGCUAGCAGUGAAAAAUUAUGAUGAAAUCAAAGAUCAAUAAUAGUACACACUCACAACACUGGGUCGCAUUGAAAGUACACCCACCUCAAGGGCUGGCUCCAGACAGCCCAAACCAGAAGAGCAAAACAAAAACAACCCAACCAGGGCGGAUGGUGGGGGUCCAAAACAAAAAGUUAACAAAAAGCACUAGAGCUCAUGGAACAGUCCAAAACAGAAUAUCCACAACAAGCACUGGAACUCCAGAAACAGUUCCCACACAGUUCAGAGGGCCGGCCUGGAGGAUGAAAGCACAGGAGCCCAGGCCUAAAACGUUCAGGAGGCUGACCGUGGAGCAGUUCUGGAGGCCGAUCGCGGAGCCAGCAGCAGCAACGAGACAGUCCAGGGUGCCGGCCAUGAAGAAAGCGGCGGCGGCACCAGUGAAGCAAGUCCAGACGCCGACCAUGUGGGAAGCGGCUUUGGCAACACAGUUCAGGAGGCCACCAAUGAUGGCAAAGAUGCUCAGCCGACGGCGUGGAAAGUGGCUGGUGACAGUGUGGUGUUGGACGUGGACGAGCAGGCUGUGGACAGCUGGAUGGACUCUCCAGAGCCCCCAGCGGGAACAGACGGCUGGCACGGCUCUCCAGAGCCUCCAGCGGGAGCAGAUGCAGAGCCUGCAGGUACAGAGACCUCUGGCUGAGAUGAAGCAGGGCCAGCAGGUGCUGAAACCCCUGGCUGAACCGGUGGCUGAGCAGAUAACUGAGCUAAUAACUGAGCUAAUAACUGAGCUAGCGAGUAAGCUAGUGACAGAAGUUGAUGUUGUUGUAAUGGUGGAUUAGCAGGUGGCUGUACUAGUUCUCCUAAGCCUCCAAAAAAUGAGGGAAACGGCUGGACGGGCUCACCUAAGCCUCCAACGGAGACAGGAACGGGUGCAGGCACCUGCCGGACACUAGCCGCUCCCACUUGAGGAGUAGGUACCGGUGCAGAGUUGGGCUGUGUCCUGGCUAGCCUCGCCCUGGGAACUGGCAUGGGCGCCGGGGCAGACCGGACACCAGUCACUCCCACCUGAGGGAUAGGUAUGGGCGUAGGAGGUUGCUGGUUCAUGGCCACCCUCACCCUGGGAGCCGGAAUAGGUACUGGCAACGGCUGGGCAGCUGCUGUCCCCACCCAAGGAGCUGGUACAGAUGCAGAGACUAGCAGAGCUUCACCCGUCCUUGAAUCCGGCGCAGGGACCAACUGGGCCCUGGCCCCCCUCACCCGGGAAACUGAUACAGGAGGAGCAGAACAAAAAGAAUCCUCCAAGUCCAACUCCUCAUCCAAAAAAGAAAUCCCAAAGCUUUCUGGGGUAAGUUUAUAGUUCCUUAUGUUUGUGGGUUCUGGAGGCGCGUAAGAAAAGGAGUCACUUUUACUCACGACUGAAGGUUGCUCAGCCGGGGCAGAGCGACGGCGGCGUGAGCGCCGCUUCCUCCGGGAAGAGGAAGCCGGUGAUCCAGGCAACUUAGCCUCCAGCGCGCAGAAUGGCCCCCCAGAGAGACCCCCCAGAGCUAAACGAGUCCCUCGAAAUAUGCUUUCGUAGUCAGGGGUGAGCCAUGGUUUCCACCUGAUCUCGUCUUCCAGCUGGGCGAGAACUGCCUGCUGUCGCUCAUGCAGUUCGAAGUCUGCUGGGUCCAUUAUUAGGUCAGAGCGUACUGUCAGAGUUUGCAAAGGCAAAUUGUGUGGUGAGAAUGAGGAGUGGACCCAAACCCAGAGAAUGGAGAUGAAGAUGUUUAACUGAAAGCGAGCCUUUAUUUGUGGCUGAAUGUAACGCUACAAAACUAACAAAAACCUUAACUGGGAACCUAGAACCAUAGCUAGCAAGAAACUGGGGAAGAUGAACAGAAUGAUGAGACACAGACAGUCUGAUGAAGAACAGGUAAAUAUACACACAAGGUAAUGAGGGGAAUGCACAACAGGAGGGAGACACAGCUGAACCUAAUCAGACGUGAGGAGACAGGGAGGAAGCAAAACAGAAUACAUUGACAUAGGCAGUGUUGGGAAGGUUACUUUUAAAAUGUAUUCCAUUACAGAAUACUGAAUACAUGCCCCAA